This 479-nucleotide ribosomal RNA is filed under the name uncultured bacterium. Its description in RNAcentral is "partial 16S ribosomal RNA". It matches the Rfam family "Bacterial small subunit ribosomal RNA", at positions 28 to 507 of the family's 1533-position model. The record is from RNAcentral.
GAUGAACGCUAGCGGCAGGCCUAAUACAUGCAAGUCGAGGGGUAUGGGUUGCUUGCAACCCAGAGACCGGCGCACGGGUGCGUAACGCGUAUGCAAUCUACCUUAAUCAGGGGGAUAGCCCGGAGAAAUCCGGAUUAACACCGCAUAACAUUGAGUUGUGGCAUCACAGUUCAAUCAAAUAUUUAUAGGAUUAAGAUGAGCAUGCGUGACAUUAGUUAGUUGGUGAGGUAACGGCUCACCAAGACCACGAUGUCUAGGGGAUCUGAGAGGAUGACCCCCACACUGGUACUGAGACACGGACCAGACUCCUACGGGAGGCAGCAGUAAGGAAGAGUGGUCAAUGGGCGCAAGCCUGAACCAGCCAUGCCGCGUGCAGGAAGACGGCCCUAUGGGUUGUAAACUGCUUUUGUACCGGAAUAAACCUUCUCUUGCGAGAGAAGCUGAACGUACGGUAAGAAUAAGGAUCGGCUAACUCCGUG